Molecule: long non-coding RNA, 2011 nt
Filed under: Callithrix jacchus (white-tufted-ear marmoset)
Lineage: Eukaryota; Metazoa; Chordata; Mammalia; Primates; Cebidae
Description: lncRNA (ENSCJAG00000066063.2)
Source: RNAcentral
UGGGUGUAGUGUCAUGUGCCUGUAGUCCCAGCUACUUGGGAGACUAAGGCAGGAGAAUCUCUUGAACCUGAGAGGCAGAGGUUGCAGUGAGCCAAAAUCAUGCCACUGCACUCCAGCCUGGUGACAGAAUGAGAUUCCAUCUCAAAAAAUAAAUAAAUAAAUAAAUAAAUAUAAAUUUUAAAAACGAUAAAAUAAGAAGCAUUCUGCAUACUUCGUGCAGCAAUUCUGCCACAGCCCCUAACGACGGCCACUUCUCAUUCCAAAUCCUGCCCUACGUUUUUCCUGUUUCAGGUUCAGUUUCAGUUUUAGAAUAAAUGAUUAAUCCAAUUCACCUGGAGCAAACGGCAGGAGACAUCCUGCUUUGGUUGUAAUAAAAUUUCAUUGCAAAUGCACUGAUCAAAGUCACAGUGAAAUAUUACAGGGUCUAGAGACCCAAGAGAAUACAACCAAGAAUAAAGGAAACAAAAAAACUGUUUGGAACCCCGUUCUGGGAAGAACGUUACCUUCAGACGCUGUCAUGGAUAUGCCUCAGUCCUUAUACUCAUGCUAGUGCAUUCGUCAGUUUUCACACUGCUAUAAAGAAAUACCCAAGACUGGGUCACUUGUGAAAGACGGAGGUUUAACUGACUGGCAUUUCUGUGUCACUGGGGAGCCCUCAGGAAACUUACGAUCAUGGCAGAAGGGGAAGCAGGCACCUCUUACACGGUGAGAGAGAGCGUGUGUGAAGGAGGAACCCUCAGACACUUCUAAAACUGUCAGGGAUCUUCUGAGAACUCACUCAUUGUCAGGAGAACAGCACUGGGGGACCGUCCCCAUGAUCCAAUCACCUCCUUCCCUCUACAGGCUUGAACUAAAACAUCAGCUCUUUCCAAGUCUUGAGCCUUCCAGCUGGGACCACAAUUCACACAUGGAUGCUCCCGGGUCUGCAGACCACAGACUGCAGAGCUUGGUAUGUAGCCUCCAUAAUCAUGGGAACCAGUUCCUUAAGGUGGAUCUCUUCCUCUGGGUAAGCACAUCCUGUUGGCGUGUUUCUCUGGAGAACCCUCAUACAGCACCUUUUAACAGUUUUCUACAUACUCCCUGAUGAGCUGCACUUCCUUGCUUUUGAAUGCUCUGUUUAUGCUGUAUACCUGUGUAUCUGCUGGGACACUUCUUAUUGAUUGCCAUGAACAAAAUCCUAUUGAUUUUCACAGUGUUCCUUAGUAAUCCUUCAACUGUCCUCACCAGCUUUCCACCCUAAAAUCCCAAGAAACUCUAUCAGAAACACUACAUUUUAAUUAGAAAUUAAGACAAAGAAAUACUCAUUUCGAAAAAAAAAAAGAAUGAAGAAGUAGAGUGUGUGGGACAUGGCUCUUCAUCUUCUGGGUCAAAAAAAGAAAUAAUAAUAAUAAUAAAGAAAAACCGAAAACAGAUUCUAUAGGUAGUCCACCAUGGAUUAGUUGUUCUAUUGUCUCUGUUUAAAUGCCACAUGCCAAAGCCCGCAUGUAGGUUCUCCAACAAUACGCGACUUCACCACUGCGGAGUUAUUGACAGAACUAUACACGUAAGUUUCUGUAUUGGAGAGAUUUCGUCUGUGAAAAUAAUUAAGCUCUGAAAGCCAUUGUCAAGAGAAGCAAAUAUAUUCAUUUGAGGAUAGAAGAGAGGUAGAUAUUGAUCAUUAACUAGGGUAAAUAGAUACAUAAAAGAAACAAGUCUUUUUGCUGUUAAAUCAUGUGAAGGUGAUUCGUCGCAGGCAUUGAAUAGAGUGGCUAGUUUCAGGGCAGGAGAUGCAAAUGUUUCUCCGGUCUCUGCAGACUUCCCGUGGACAGUCCACUUCUCAGGGUUGGCAUUUCCCCCCAGCUCUAAGUCUUGGCAAGUAGCUACAGUAAGUAUUCCAGUGUCUUCUUCAGCUCAUCACUGCUGCGCAGGCGACACCUUUCCAUAUAUCACAGUGGUCUGUCCUUAGACCCCUUGACCGGGGUUUCUACCAGCUGGUUGUUACCUUGGAAGUUGAAGUGAAGAGAAAUAAAAC